RNAcentral lists this transfer RNA (74 nucleotides) under Streptococcus pneumoniae. Its description in RNAcentral is "tRNA-Met". It matches the Rfam family "tRNA". Rfam says of the family: Transfer RNA (tRNA) molecules are approximately 80 nucleotides in length. Their secondary structure includes four short double-helical elements and three loops (D, anti-codon, and T loops). The record is from RNAcentral. Lineage: Bacteria; Bacillati; Bacillota; Bacilli; Lactobacillales; Streptococcaceae.
CGGGCUGGAGCAGCACGGUAGCUCGUCGGCCUCAUAUCCCGAAGGUCGUUGGUUCAAAUCCUGCUCCCGCAACA